This is a non-coding RNA of Ciona savignyi (Pacific transparent sea squirt), 83 nucleotides long. The record is from Rfam. Lineage: Eukaryota; Metazoa; Chordata; Ascidiacea; Phlebobranchia; Cionidae.
AAUGGGUUGGCCGAGUGGUUAAGGCGUUGGACUUAAGUUCCAAUGGACAAGUGUCCGCGUGGGUUCGAACCCCACACCCAGUA